Long non-coding RNA from Pleuronectes platessa (European plaice), 1184 nucleotides. RefSeq lists it as uncharacterized. The record is from RefSeq and is a predicted model, not a curated record. Lineage: Eukaryota; Metazoa; Chordata; Actinopteri; Pleuronectiformes; Pleuronectidae. The transcript has 5 exons.
AAAUCACUCCCGCGAUUUGUUGUGGUUCCUCUAUUUCAGAAACUAUGUGCUAAAGUGCGUCCAAUGGAAUUUCCCCCGAAAUAGACGUCAUAGUCGAAAAAUGCCCAUUUAGUACAUUCCCCCAUAGCUCUAUGCACUCCCCCACUACCACUCGACCCACCCCUAGAUGGACCCUCCCACUUUAUAGAAGCUCGGUCCACCGGUGUCCGCCAUUUCAUUCUUGCAAGCCUUGGAAACACUUGGAUUAGCUAACUAGCAGCAUGAAUCGGUGGUCGGCUGCAAACAUGUCUUCAUGUGACUCCAGCUUCAGAAGACACAAGAUUGAGAUGGAUUGAGUUCAUAUAUGAUGGCAACGUUCCUGCCACCACUUUGAAUCGGACUUUUUUUAUCAACCUGGGCCAAUAUAACGCUGGAUUCUCUAAAAGGUUGUUAUUGAAAGAGGGGUCGGUGCCAUCUUUCCAUGGCAAUACUGAAGACGAGGGAAAUGCAAGCACAUCUGUUCACGGUGAUAGGCUACAUCACGUAGCAUGCCAGACGGACCCACCAAAGAUGCGCACACAUGGAACGCAGCUUUCUAUGAAAACACUGCGACCUCACUACAAACGUACAGGCACACAGAAAACUGUGCUGCACUGAUGUCGGUGUUGGGACCUCAGCUGUAAGAGACCUCGCUUGGAGGAGGGAGAGGACAAGAUGUGACAUUACAUGGAUAACCUGUUGGACCUCAUCUUUCACGAGGUUUUUCAGGACCCGGCCCCAUAUGUGAAUGAGGUGCUGAAGAUCUCAAAACCUGAGGAUCUCUCUGCCUUGUAUGAGAAACCUGACAGGAAGUUAUAGCCAGCUAUGUGUCGAGUUUCAAUCAAGGGCAGGUCUGAACCCUAUAUAACUUCCCUGAGCAUCAGGGAACACUCUGCGUAUCUGGAGCACCGAGCAGGAGGGCAGGACCACCCUGAUUCUCCGGCCCAGAGGGCCUCAACACCAGCUCACAAAGCUUCUGUACGCCAAAUACCUGUAACGGCUGAGCAAAGUUCACAUUGUAUUUAGAGAAUAAAAGGUGACACACAAAUAUAAAGUGUUCCUUUGUUUACAGUAUAGCUACUGAUGGCACAAAUUGUAUUUUUGUAAUGAAUGUAUUUAUUAUACUUGGUAUUUUUUGUAUUUAUUACCUCUGUCCCAGCCAGUAC